GCUUUGAUGUGGUGUUGGUGAGGUGCUGUAGCCAGAACUGCAUGCUCCAAGCUCAUCAUGUAUUUCCUGCUUUGGCCCUACAAUCAGCACUUUCCUCCUGGGACCCCUGGUUCCUUGGAUUGGAGAAGAGUACCAGAAACCAAGUUCUGGGCAUGAGGCAUGCUUGGAUGGGAUCUUGCUAAGCUGCCCGGGCUAGCCUCGAACUCAGAAUCCUCCUCCCUUAACAGCUCAGGUAGGAUAACAGCACAUACCAGAGCUGAGUCAGGAGCAUUCUCUGAAAGCUGCUGCCAAGCCCCUGCAUCCCUGGACUGAGCGAGCAGGUUGGCACUGCCAUCUGGAACCUCUCUUCUACCUAGCACAAAGAACUUGAUGGGGGUUCUGAGAAUGGAGAAAAGAAGGCUAGCUCCAAGAGCUGCAAGAGUUUUCCAGCAGCAGAAGAAACCAAAUGUGCCCAAGACUACCAGCUCUCCACCAAAGCUCAUUCCACACUCCUCCAAGAGUAUGGACUGGGUUACAAUUCCAAGUACAGAGAGAGAACGUUGUCAUGUGACCAAAACCCAGCCAAAUGAAUGUGAGAAAAAAAUUGUAGGUAUCCUUUCAUUGCUCAGCGCGCCUCUUUGAACAUCUUCCUCCAAUCAGUGGCUGUCACUAAGAUGUACAUUCAAAUGAUGACAAUGACCUAUUUUUGAUGACUUUUUGGAGCACAGCUCAACUAUCCCUCCUGGACUGAUGUGUGGAAGAGAAAUAAACUUGUUU
Molecule: long non-coding RNA, 756 nt
Organism: Heterocephalus glaber (naked mole-rat)
Lineage: Eukaryota; Metazoa; Chordata; Mammalia; Rodentia; Bathyergidae
Source: Ensembl